CCCUUAGAUGUUCUGGGCUGCACACGUGCUACACUGGCAGGUUCAGCGAGCUUCAUGCCCUGAUCUGAAAGGAAUGGGAAAUCUUUUCAAAACCUGCCGUGCUUGGGAUAGAUGUUUGCAAUUAUUCAUCUUCAACGAGGAUUGCCUUGUAAGCGCAUGUCAUCAGCAUGCAUUGAAUACGACCCUGUAUUCUGUACACACCGCCCGUCGCUCCUACCGAUUGGGUGUGCUGGUGAAAUGUUCGGAUCGGCCGUUUGUCGCGGUUUCCGCGUCAUGUGGCUGAGAAGUUCAUUAAACCCUCCCACCUAGAGGAAGGAGAAGUCGUAACA
RNAcentral lists this ribosomal RNA (329 nucleotides) under uncultured eukaryote. RNAcentral's name for it is "partial 18S ribosomal RNA". It matches the Rfam family "Eukaryotic small subunit ribosomal RNA", at positions 1470 to 1796 of the family's 1831-position model. The record is from RNAcentral.